UGCCGACUUUAGUGAAGCUCCAUGCUGACUCUUUCUGGAAGGGUUGUACUGCUGUGCCUUCCUGGGAGCACCCUCUCUUCAAAGCAAGACUCAGACAGUAAAGCAUGAGAGGAGAAUGACAAGCUCAGGGCAGAACUGCAGCUACCCUCACAGAGACCCAGGUCCCCCAUGGACAGACAUCGAGCUCCCCAAGGGCAGAGCCCUCAGCAAAGGGAAUGUGAGGGAGGCUGGCAGCAGAGAAAUAUGGGGUCAGCCAUUGUUACACAUGGAAAAUGGGGGUCAGUAAAAAAGAAAGCAGUGGGUGGCUAUCAGACCACGAUGGGCACACCCUUACGUGGCAGUUCCCACUUAGAAAGUGCAAUGACUUUGCUGGGCUUUAGGUCUCACCCACACAGUGCAGCAUCUCAGGGUGUCAGAGCUCUUCUCUCCCAUGGCUCUGCUGUUUGCAGCGUGUCCAUUGCUUUGCCCCUCGCUCAGUCUUAUAGUUUUCUCUUUGCUCAUCAGCUUCUGCAGAAGAUCAAGAGCCCCCGGAGGCGGGAGUCUGCGGAUCCCAGGGCCCCUCCUGUCUUACUCCGAUGGGCUCAGGAGAGCUAGUCUCUCAUAUAUACUGUUUGCAUGGAUGGAUUGGAUUUCGAGGGAAGACCGGCGGGUAAGGAUGCUGGAGGGAGAUGUCAGUCCCUUUGGAAGAAUCUGCCGGAAAGCCCUCAGAUUACCUGCUAGGAACACCCAUCUCCCUAGGAUCAGGGAGGCAAGAUCCCUGCCACACCAACAGCCCACAGAGGCUGCUGCAGCCUGGGAGGGAGAGUUCUCCAAGUGCCUGCAGCCCCCACAGUCAGCUCUCAGCAUCAGCUGUGCUCCUGCAAGCUCCUAAUUGAGUUAAAAGGGAAUCCAGGCCCCUGGGUGCUCCUUUCUCCAGGAAGCAUUAGAAAAAUGCAGGGAGGGAAAGAAGUUCAAGGUUGGGGUAUGUGCUGCCCUUGGUUCUGCUCGGGAAUGUCUUAGCUGAUUACACGGCUCUCAUUUCAACAACACCAGCUUUGUGUCCUGGCUAUGGGAAGACUCCUCUCUGUCAUUGCUGUCGCCUCUGGAGGGCCACCCUGCCAGGGAAAGCGCAUCUGGAGAAAAAGUUUCUGCCAGAUUUGAAAUACUUUUGUGGAGGGGAGGGGUGCUUUCUCCGGGAAUUUAUGCUUUUCUUACCCACCCCUUUCUCCUCUUUUAUGAGGGUUAAUAGUUAUCGUGGGCUCUCCACGUUUUAAGCAAUCUGGUAGAGUGGUAUGCUCAUGGCUCCCCCUUUAAAACGGCUGGGGCUCAGGCACUUCCAGUGUGGAAGACAUCGACUUAUCUCCCAAGCAUGGGCUUUCUGGAUGAAGGACCUGGAAGCCCACGGUACCCCACCACUCAAGCUGAGAGGCACUGACCAUGGGCAGAGACUGGACGUAGGUAUCGCUGAGCUCUGCACAGCUGGAGAAGUAGACGGCAGCUUGUCCCAAAGUCUACACAAAACCAGUCUGAGCCUUUCUCUCUCUCUGCUUAUCUUGACUUUUUGUCCUCUCUGGAAAUUCCUGUACACACAACAGAAGGAGCCCUGGCAUGACUCUGUGAUCUUCCACCUUGAAACUCGCACAGCCCACUUGAGAGAUUGAACUGGCCGAUAAAAGGAAAUGUUAGCCUCUUUGUGCUGAGUCUGGGAGGAGGUUCCUGGGGGCGGGGAAUCGGAGGUGCAUCACAGUGUCAAACGUUUACCUAGCUUUGACUCCCGUGCCAGCCAUGGUACUUAACCUGCUUUACUUAUUCAGUCUUCAGUGGUGUGGCCACUUCUAGCUAAACUAUGAAACAGGUGCUGAGAAAGGUAACACCGGUAAAUGGUCAAGGUGCAGUCUCGGGCUUGGCUUAGCUGACAUUCCGAGUUGAUUUGGUACCUAUAUUCCCAAUGCUGCAGAAUACCAUCUCCUUACUUCUCUACCACGAUACCAGGGAACAUGCCAUGUCUUGUAGCAUCACAUAUGACCAGCCACAUAUGACCAAGCAUAGCCAUACACGAUGAAGGCAUCAAUAUGUACAUGGGGCAAAAGCCACCAGCACUGCCACUGCUCAGAAGUGACACGCUUCUCUACGAGGACUGCCUAGAACGGAACAGAAUUAGGAUGGAAUCCUUAGACCUUUUCUGUUCUUCAUCCUGUGCUGUCCCUCUUGGCCAUGUACCCCCUCUUGUGUCUUCACAGCCAACUUCACAAGCAAUUCCUCUCACCUCCUUGCAUUGUUUCAUUCUUCAGGGGUCUCUCCGUCCCUUCGUUAGACAAUAAGAGGUUGGAGAGUUGGCAUCGGAUCUCUUUACAGAUGGUUGUGAGCCACCAUGUGGUUGCUGGGAAUUGAACUCAGGACCUCUGGAAGAGUAGUCGGGUGCUCUUAACCGCUGAGCCAUCUCUCCAGCCCCCAACAUUUCUUCAUUGUAUCAUCUUCAUCUGCAAAGCAGAAGUGGAACCUUCCGUACAUCAUUCUUAGUGUCCUGAUGCGAAAUGAGUGGGCCCCUGCAUGUAUUGCGGUUAGAGGGCUGGUAAAGGCAGGCUUCAGCUAACGAGUGACUGUUUCUCAGGAUAGGAAAAACUUGAACACAUGUGUAAGUAGAUAGAAAUAGAUGAAUAGAAGUGGUAACUGCACCGUGGAGAAAACUGAUGGAGUGAGGGUGGGACGGAGGAUACAGGGAAGAGGAUAACCCUGACUCUUUUGAAAGGGUCUCUGCCAAUUCUCAUUAUUUGUAGUAGUUAACAUUCUAUAAAAGCAGUGUGAAUUCUGACAUUACUGACUUCCGGAUGCUCUGCUCCUGAGGGAAAUGCAAGCCUAGUUUUAUUGUGAGCUUCUUUUCUCACAACUCAUUUCUGUCAGCCAAAUAAGAUAUAACUUUAUUAGCUAGGUGAUGGUGGUACACACCUUUGAUCUCAGCACUUGGGAGGCAGAGGCAGGUGGGUCUCUGUUAGAUCAAGGCCAGCCUGGCCUACAUAGUAAGUUCCAGGACAGUCAAAGCUACACAGAGAAACCCUGUUUUACAAAACAAGACAAGACAAAACACAAAAAGAGAUAUAACUUUAUUUGUUGUGUGGUUUGGGUUAAAGACAUCAUAUUUAGUAUAUAUAUUGUUGAUUCUCUAGCCUUGAAUUCAUGACCGCCAUUCCUGCUACAUGGUGCUUGUCUAGGACUUGUUAUUUUCUCCAUAAGACACAACAUAGGUAACAUCUCUGCAUUGCUUUUGUGAAUGACCAAAAACGAGAAAUCACCAAUAAACUCAGUUUACCACAUAGCA
Non-coding RNA from Rattus norvegicus (Norway rat), 3295 nucleotides. The record is from RefSeq and is a predicted model, not a curated record. Lineage: Eukaryota; Metazoa; Chordata; Mammalia; Rodentia; Muridae.